CGAACGCUGGCGGCAGGUCUUAGGCAUGCAAGUCGAACGGAUGACAAGGGAGCUUGCUCCUGAAGUCAGUGGCGCACGAGUGAGUAACGCGUGGGAAACUGCCCUUCACUGGGGAAUAACGUUUGGAAACGAACGCUAAUACCGCAUACGCCCGCAAGGGGAAAGAUUUAUCGGUGAUGGAUGUGCCCGCGUUGGAUUAGCUAGUUGGUGGGGUAAUGGCCUACCAAGGCGAUGAUCCAUAGCUGGUCUGAGAGGACGAUCAGCCACGCUGGAACUGAGACACGGUCCAGACUCCUACGGGAGGCAGCAGCUAAGAAUAUUGGGCAAUGGAGGAAACUCUGACCCAGCCCAUGCCGCGUGAAUGAAGAAGGCCUUCGGGUUGUAAAGUUCUUUUAGUCAUGAAGAUGAUGACAGUAGUGACAGAAAAAGCACCGGCUAACUUCGUGCCAGCCGCUGC
RNAcentral lists this ribosomal RNA (457 nucleotides) under uncultured bacterium. Its description in RNAcentral is "bacterial SSU rRNA". It matches the Rfam family "Bacterial small subunit ribosomal RNA", at positions 30 to 518 of the family's 1533-position model. The record is from RNAcentral.